UGAUGAGCGGGUCUUCAAGGUAUGGUGAAUGCAUAAUUGAUGGUUCUUUGUAUUUCUGCCUGAACUUUUUUGCUUGUGAAUUACCUUCUUAUUUGAGUAGCAAAAUUUAACCUUGAAAAGUUUUGGAUUUAUUUUGUUCUUUAAACUUAAUGUUGCAAUUGUGGGUGUUUUGUACGUUUGCUUUUCUUAUUUUGAGUCUAUUUCUGUUUUUUUCUUGGAAGUUUGAUUUUAUUUGAAUAGCCUUCAUACACAUGAAUUGGCAUUAAUAAUCAGUGACUCUACUGGUCAUAAAACAAGGAAACCUAUGUGCAAAGGCCACAAAUAAGAUGCUGAUGCAUAAUACUAAGUGAGUGCAUAGCGAAUUUCUACUAAGCGCAAUAUUAAAUGCACACACGUCUGUUCUCAACUAAUUAGGUGUGUCCUUCACAAAUGUUUAAUGAAAGAUGAUAUGGCUCUUUUAGUUGUGAUUUUGAAUGCGGAAAAUGCAAUAGAUAACAAAAACAAAGAACUAUCAUGAUUGUUUUAAUGCCUUCCAAAAGUUAGAAAUGUUUAAUUAAAGAUCAGCAGAAUUUGUAGUGA
Molecule: unclassified non-coding RNA, 579 nt
Filed under: Hevea brasiliensis (rubber tree)
Lineage: Eukaryota; Viridiplantae; Streptophyta; Magnoliopsida; Malpighiales; Euphorbiaceae
Source: RNAcentral